AGUGAACGCUGGCGGUAGGCCUAACACAUGCAAGUCGAACGGCAGCACAGUAAGAGCUUGCUCUUACGGGUGGCGAGUGGCGGACGGGUGAGGAAUACAUCGGAAUCUACUUUUUCGUGGGGGAUAACGUAGGGAAACUUACGCUAAUACCGCAUACGACCUACGGGUGAAAGCAGGGGAUCUUCGGACCUUGCGCGAUUGAAUGAGCCGAUGUCGGAUUAGCUAGUUGGCGGGGUAAAGGCCCACCAAGGCGACGAUCCGUAGCUGGUCUGAGAGGAUGAUCAGCCACACUGGAACUGAGACACGGUCCAGACUCCUGCGGGAGGCAGCAGUGGGGAAUAUUGGACAAUGGGAGCAAGCCUGAGCCAGCCAUACCGCGUGGGUGAAGAAGGCCUUCGGGUUGUAAAGCCCUUUUGUUGGGAAAGAAAAGCAGCAGGUUAAUACCCCGCUGUUCUGACGGUACCCAAAGAAUAAGCACCGGCUAACUUCGU
Molecule: ribosomal RNA, 491 nt
Filed under: uncultured bacterium
Lineage: Bacteria
Description: partial 16S ribosomal RNA
Rfam family: Bacterial small subunit ribosomal RNA
Source: RNAcentral